Molecule: long non-coding RNA, 648 nt
Filed under: Numida meleagris (helmeted guineafowl)
Lineage: Eukaryota; Metazoa; Chordata; Aves; Galliformes; Numididae
Description: lncRNA (ENSNMEG00000002825.1)
Source: RNAcentral
UAGGAAAGACAAGGGGGAAAAUGCCUAAAUUGCUGCAGUGAUCUGUCUGUGUAAACAUUUCAAACAUCUGUCUGCAUUUGGAAAUAUCCUGGGCUGCGCGCUGAAAGUAUUUAGGCUUUUUCCAAAGGAAGAAAUCUCCCACCUUCCAGGAACCUGAUAUUUUGGACCAGAUCCCUCUUUGAACAGGUUGUGUGCUGCCCUUUUCAAAAUCAAGCUAUCAGAAGAUGCCCUUCAGCAGAAGUGUUAAGAGGACUUGGUGAGCUUAACAUGUUUCGCCUGCUUAAUUUAAUUUGGAAAAAUUCAACCAGAAAAUGAAGUUAUUAACAGUAUAAAAAAAGGUGCGUGCUCAAGAGUUAUCUGACUGGGUUGUUGAAGACAGCAAGUCACUACAGAGGAGAAGGAAUUCUCAGAAGAUAAGUGUCUGCCACCCUGUCUCUUUUGUGCUAACUACCAACAGCUGGAGCCCAGGCAGAAGAGAGGCAAGAGAAGCACGUGUCAAGGAAGUAUGUGCUUAAGCAUGAAGGUGAACAGAGCUUUCCAGGGGAAAGGUACAGUUUUUUGUUGCAUUUAAUUGAAUUUCUAUUAUUGCAUAUAAUAGAUUUUAAAAAAAUUCCAAUGCAAGAGUAGUAGUUUUCACUUCAUAGGCAU